This 599-nucleotide unclassified non-coding RNA is filed under the name Hevea brasiliensis (rubber tree). Lineage: Eukaryota; Viridiplantae; Streptophyta; Magnoliopsida; Malpighiales; Euphorbiaceae. The record is from RNAcentral.
UUUUUUGGGCACUUUAUCCUUCACUGCAGAGGAGAGAAAUAAAGCAUCACCAGCAUCCCAAUUAAGUUAAAAAUGGAAGAGAAAAAUGGUUUCCUAGUUCAAAACUUCAUAAAAGAACUCAUGCAGCAAAAAAUAUUCUAAAAGAACUUUGAAGAUUGCCAUGCCCAAUAAUUCAGAGAUGGGGCCUGGGGACACCAAUUAUGACAAUAAAUGAAAAGAAAAUUUGGAAGAAAGAUCUAAAGGUCAUGGGUGAACACCACAAGUAAACUACUAAAAAAAUUGGCAUAAGGCUGUUCCUUGUUUUACAUAAAAAGUGCGCUAUUAGCACUUAUAACCACCUAGAAUUUCAAUAUCUUAUCGGUUUUGCUGUGUAAAAUCCUUAAUGUCUUGCCCCAUCUAAGCAAAAAUUCAAGCCAUGCAAGAAUCUCAAUUACAGCUGCAAGUGGCAAUCAUAAAACAUGACGCCAAAAAAGAACAUACACGUUACCGCACACUGGUCCAAAGAACAAUCAAUUUCAUCAUUCUGAUCGUUCUUGAAGAUACCAUUUUGCCCCAUCACAAGAGCAGCACUUGGUGCUCCUGCCAGAGCAUUCUCAAGU